Molecule: microRNA, 22 nt
Filed under: Monodelphis domestica (gray short-tailed opossum)
Lineage: Eukaryota; Metazoa; Chordata; Mammalia; Didelphimorphia; Didelphidae
Description: mdo-miR-7317-5p
Source: miRBase by way of RNAcentral
AACUCCGUGGUUCUCUGAAAGA